This 275-nucleotide ribosomal RNA is filed under the name uncultured Fibrisoma sp. RNAcentral's name for it is "partial 16S ribosomal RNA". It matches the Rfam family "Bacterial small subunit ribosomal RNA", at positions 338 to 610 of the family's 1533-position model. Lineage: Bacteria; Pseudomonadati; Bacteroidota; Cytophagia; Cytophagales; Spirosomataceae. The record is from RNAcentral.
CCUACGGGUGGCUGCAGUAGGGAAUAUUGGGCAAUGGAGGCAACUCUGACCCAGCCAUGCCGCGUGCAGGACGAAGGCGCUCAGCGUUGUAAACUGCUUUUGCCCGUGAAGAAACGCAGCCCUGCGGGGUUGUUUGCCGGUAACGGGUGAAUAAGCACCGGCUAACUCCGUGCCAGCAGCCGCGGUAAUACGGAGGGUGCAAGCGUUGUCCGGAUUUAUUGGGUUUAAAGGGUGCGUAGGUGGUCUGGUAAGUCUGGUUUGAAAGCUGGGUGCUC